This 1056-nucleotide ribosomal RNA is filed under the name Triticum aestivum (bread wheat). RNAcentral's name for it is "partial small subunit ribosomal RNA". Lineage: Eukaryota; Viridiplantae; Streptophyta; Magnoliopsida; Poales; Poaceae. The record is from RNAcentral.
GAACGAGUUCAGGCUAUUCUCGAUUGGACUCCUCCGAAGAACGUUAAGCAAGUCAGAAGUUUUCUCGGUCUCGCCAGCUACUGCCGUCGAUUCGUCGAGAACUUCUCCAAGAUUGCCAGGCCUCUGACUAACCUAUUGCAUAAGGGCGUCAAGUUCCAGUGGACAGACAAAUGUCAGGAAAGCUUCCAGGCACUCAAAGACAAGUUGACUUCUGCCCCAGUACUAGCUCUGCCUGAUACUAAGAAGGACUUCGUCAUUUACUGCGACGCUUCCCGUCAAGGAUUAGGCUGUGUCCUAAUGCAAGAGCGCAAAGUGGUUGCUUAUGCCUCUCGUCAAUUGCGCCCUCACGAAGAGAACUACCCAGUUCACGACCUCGAACUUGCUGCUGUCAUUCAUGCACUAAAACAGUGGCGACAUUACCUACUCGGUAAUCGUUGCGAGAUCUUCACCGACCAUCAAAGUCUGAAGUAUCUGUUUACUCAACCAGACCUGAACCUCCGUCAGCAGAGAUGGAUGGAGACUGUUGCAGACUUUGAUUUGGGUAUUUCCUAUACACCAGGCAAGGCUAAUGUAAUGGCUGAUGCCUUGAGCCGCAAGUCUUACUGCAACCACCUCCAGGUUCACAAAGUUCAUCCCUCACUUGUUGAAGAAUUCAGAAAGCUAAACCUCCAUAUUGUUCCUCCGGGUGCACUCGCUCCCCCUCCCCCGGAGUUCCGCAAGAUGAAUCUCCGUGUUGUUUCCCAGGGUUCCCUCUAUACCCUGGCUGUUGAACCCGAUCUCGUGGGCACCAUUAAGACAAUGCAGGGAUUUGACUCUGAAGUCUACAAGAUUAAGCAAGACCUCAAAGAAGGAAGUCCCUCAUCCUUCACUAUUGCCGAUGAUGGCGCCUUGUACUUCAAAGGCCGCCUAGUGGUGCCGUGUAAGAAGGAAAACCUGAAUAUGACCCAGGAGGUUAUGAAAGAAGCUCAUGAUACGCCUCUUUGUAUCCAUCCUGGUAGUACGAAGAUGUAUCAAGACAUCCGCCAGAGAUUCUGGUGGUCUAACAUGAAGCAAGAC